UACGUAGGGGGCAAGCGUUAUCCGGAUUUACUGGGUGUAAAGGGAGCGUAGACGGCUGCGCAAGCCAGAUGUGAAAGCCCGGGGCUCAACCCCGGGACUGCAUUUGGAACUGCGUGGCUUGAGUGUCGGAGAGGCAGGCGGAAUUCCUAGUGUAGCGGUGAAAUGCGUAGAUAUUAGGAGGAACACCAGUGGCGAAGGCGGCCUGCUGGACGAUGACUGACGUUGAGGCUCGAAAGCGUGGGGAGCAAACAGG
RNAcentral lists this ribosomal RNA (253 nucleotides) under uncultured bacterium. Its description in RNAcentral is "partial 16S ribosomal RNA". It matches the Rfam family "Bacterial small subunit ribosomal RNA", at positions 524 to 776 of the family's 1533-position model. The record is from RNAcentral.